AUUCCUGUAGUGCAACGGAUAGCACGUUGGGUCUAAUCCAAAGGUCGUGGGUUCGAAUCCUACCUGAGAUG
This is a non-coding RNA of Trichonephila clavata, 71 nucleotides long. Lineage: Eukaryota; Metazoa; Arthropoda; Arachnida; Araneae; Nephilidae. The record is from the annotation of a GenBank genome assembly.